AGAGUUUGAUCCUGGCUCAGGAUGAACGCUGGCGGCGUGCCUAAUACAUGCAAGUCGAGCGAACAGACGAGGAGCUUGCUCCUUUGACGUUAGCGGCGGACGGGUGAGUAACACGUAGGUAACCUACCUAUAAGACUGGGAUAACUUCGGGAAACCGGAGCUAAUACCGGAUAAUAUUUCGAACCGCAUGGUUCGAUAGUGAAAGAUGGCUUUGCUAUCACUUAUAGAUGGACCUGCGCCGUAUUAGCUAGUUGGUAAGGUAACGGCUUACCAAGGCAACGAUACGUAGCCGACCUGAGAGGGUGAUCGGCCACACUGGAACUGAGACACGGUCCAGACUCCCUACGGGAGGCAGCAGUAGGGAAUCUUCCGCAAUGGGCGAAAGCCUGACGGAGCAACGCCGCGUGAGUGAUGAAGGUCCUUCGGAUCGUAAAACUCUGUUAUUAGGGAAGAACAAACGUGUAAGUAACUGUGCACGUCUUGACGGUACCUAAUCAGAAAGCCACGGCUAACUAAGGUUCAAA
RNAcentral lists this ribosomal RNA (524 nucleotides) under Staphylococcus xylosus. RNAcentral describes it as "bacterial SSU rRNA". It matches the Rfam family "Bacterial small subunit ribosomal RNA", at positions 8 to 512 of the family's 1533-position model. The record is from RNAcentral. Lineage: Bacteria; Bacillati; Bacillota; Bacilli; Caryophanales; Staphylococcaceae.